CCGAGAAUUUUUCACAAUGGGCGAAAGCCUGAUGGAGCGACGCCGCGUGGGGGAUGAAUGGCUUCGGCCCGUAAACCCCUGUCAUUCGCGAGCAAACGUUAUUAUUUAAAAGAUGAUAGCCUGAUAGUAGCGAAAGAGGAAGGGACGGCUAACUCUGUGCCAGCAGCCGCGGUAAUACAGAGGUCCCAAGCGUUGUUCGGAUUUACUGGGCGUAAAGGGUGCGUAGGUGGUGGGGUAAGUCGGAUGUGAAAUCUCCGAGCUCAACUCGAAAAGUGCAUUGGAAACUACCCUGCUCGAGGGUUGGAGGGUGGACUGGAAUACUUGGUGUAGCAGUGAAAUGCGUAGAUAUCAAGUGGAACACCAGUGGCGAAGGCGAGUCCCUGGACAACUCCUGACACUGAGGCACGAAAGCUAGGGGAGCAAACAG
This 427-nucleotide ribosomal RNA is filed under the name uncultured bacterium. RNAcentral's name for it is "bacterial SSU rRNA". It matches the Rfam family "Bacterial small subunit ribosomal RNA", at positions 355 to 775 of the family's 1533-position model. The record is from RNAcentral.